CCUGCAACCUCAUGGCUCCUAGUCGGAUUUGUUAACCACCGCACCGCAAUGGGAACUCCUAGAAAUCUAUUACUCUUGAAUAAAUAUAAUCUUAGGUCCUUGUAGUAGUUAGCUCAGCUUUUAAAUUCACUGAAAUUACACACUGAACCAUUUUUUUUUCCCAUAGCUACAGUGUGAUUGAUUUUUCUCAACACCAACAGCAGCAGAUUAGAGAAUUAAUUAAGGGAAACCUAGAAAGUCUCCUUGACUUGGCUUACCAUGCCUGCCGGGCAGAUGGAGGCAGCAGCGGUAAGGAGAUGAUUUCUCCUUAGGGUAUGUAGGAUAUAACAAAUGUUGUGAUUUAAGGGCCUCAGGGGUUUAUAUUGAGAAAAGGCUCACUUAUGACCUAACAGCUAAAGAGUAUUCAAAGAAACCAACUGCAGUUAAUCCUUCCAACUGGUAAAAAAUAUAGUACCAUUUUUUUUUAAAAAAUUAAAAUUAAAAAUGAUAGAGAAGGACCCCAAAUAGAGACUGAAAAAGUGUGUCAUAAAGCCAACACCUUUGGAAUUAUACAUUUAUGAUUUCACAGGAGAUAAAUUUGCCUCUGGUACUUCCAGAGAUUUCUUUGAAGUAGAUGUGUUCCAGAAACUUUUGUAUUGAAAAUAUUUAUAAAGAUCUUUUUUUUUGGGGGGGGGGAGUGGUAUUCUCAAGUAGAGCCCUUGUCCUGGCCAUUUAUCUGAUGUACCACAAUACCUUUGGUCACUUGGUUCCUGCUGCUUAGAAACAAAUGAAAACUAUUGGCUUUUCAAAAUGUGAUAAUGUUUCCAAAAUUUUUCAUUUUAAAACUCUUUAAAAUAUGAGUUUUAACAUUCCUUCCCAGAAUGCAUUCUCCUUUCCUUGAACCAUUAAACAUGCCGUCGUGGUAUCUGCUCCCCUCGGUUCCCUUCUUUGAAUUCUCACCUCUCUUGCUGGCUUGUCUCCCAGGCAAGUAAUCUGUGAUUUGAUCAAUAUCUAUUUCUGAUCCUUUUCCCCCUCAGCGAGGCCAGGAAUCGAACUUGCACCCUCACGGACACUAGGUCGGGCCCUGAACCCAGUGAGCCACAAGGGGAACUCCAGACCAUUUUUCUUCAUAACAGUUAUCCUCCUUGGGAAUUUGGUGGAAGCUAUGACCACCCACCCACAGCACUAUGUGCACUAUUUUAGGAGGCUUGUGAUCUCCCUGAAACCCACUCCGAGGUCCCUUGUGGUCCAUGAGCCCCAGAGUGGGCGAUUCUGGUCCUUAUUCUCCACAGCUAAAGCACAUGCAUAAGACAACCAGGAUGACGUAUAUCUUGGUUUUCCUUUGGGGGCAGCAUGCAGGAUAUUCAUUACAAACAAGUGGAUUCAGGCUCCAGCAGAUUGGGUCGGCUAACAACUCCUCUGGUCUCCAGAGCAGUAUGGAAGAAUCUGGCAUCACUGUGUCAGCCUGCCAACCCCAAACAGCCACUGCCACCUUGUGCAACAAAAGAUUUCCAUUUGUACCAACAAAAAGAGGAGUGGGUUCAUGCAUUGGCUCCAUUGGCAGAGGAAUGUGUCAAAGAGUUAUACGGUGCCAUUUUCAUGCCAGUGCCAUCAGAUGCUGCAGAGGGAAAAGGAGCUGAUCCCAAUAAGCGUUCUGAUUUUUCAUCCAGUUCACAGAAUCAAAGGAGGUGGAGCGGAAUCUCUCUCUGCUGAAAUAUUGGCUGUGGUGAGUGACUUCUCAAAAAGGACAGCGUGGAAAUAGGGGGAAAGUAACUUUCCAGUGGAGAAACCUGACAGACUCAACCUCAGUCAUGCCAUCAAGGUCGGACUCAACGGUGAUAACUCCUGUUGCCAGCACGUACCCCUGAUAUGAUGCAAGAAUGGAUGUCACUUCCGUGGGCUUCCUCCUCAAAACUCAUCGUUCCAGUCACAUGUUGUGGGGAAAAAACCCACUAGACAAAUUCCAAUAGAGGGGAAUCCUACAAAAUAAUUGACAAGUCCUUCUCGGGACUGUCUAGGGCACCAAAACCAAGUCUAAGAAAUUAUCUCAGCCAAGAAGAGCCCAAGGAGACAUGAGGAUGAUGCGUUAUGCGGCAUCCUGGACGAGAUCCUCGAUCAGAAAGAAGGUGGUGAGUUAAAACUAAAGCAAUCUUGGAGUCCGCAUUGUGGCUCAGAAGGUUAAGAACCCAGUUUACUCUCUGUGAGGAUGUGGGUUCGAUGCCUGGUCUCGCUCAGUGGGUUAAGUAUCUGGUGUUGCCAUGAGUGAGCGGUGGUGUAGGUUGAAGAUGCAGCUUGGAUCCCGUGUUGCUGUGGCUGUGGUAUAGGCCGGCAGCUGAAGCUCUGAUUCGACCCCAAGGCUGGGAACUUCCAUAUGCAGCAGGUAAGGCCAUAAAGAAAGAAACAAAACAAACAAACAGACAAACAAAACUAGAGCAAUCUGAGUAAGCUAUGGAUUUUAGUUAAUGAUAGAAUAGCAAUAUUGGUUUAUUCAUCAUAACGAAUGUACAGAGCUGAUGUAAGAUGUUACAUUAAUAACAGGGGAAACAGGGCAAGGACGGAGAUGAAAACUCUCUGGACUGUCUUUUUAAUUUUUCUGUGAACCAAAAGCUGUGUUGAAAAAUAAAAUCUAUUUUAAAAGUAAUGAACGCAUGGACAUAAGGACACAUGUUUACCUUUCA
Non-coding RNA from Sus scrofa (pig), 2657 nucleotides. Lineage: Eukaryota; Metazoa; Chordata; Mammalia; Artiodactyla; Suidae. The record is from RefSeq and is a predicted model, not a curated record.